This 524-nucleotide ribosomal RNA is filed under the name Platypleura capensis. RNAcentral's name for it is "partial 16S ribosomal RNA". It matches the Rfam family "Bacterial large subunit ribosomal RNA", at positions 1819 to 2609 of the family's 2925-position model. Lineage: Eukaryota; Metazoa; Arthropoda; Insecta; Hemiptera; Cicadidae. The record is from RNAcentral.
GUCCUUUAGAAGAAAAAAAUUAAAGGUCUAAUCUGCCCAAUGAUAUUUGAAUGGCCGCGGUAACUUGACCGUGCAAAGGUAGCAUAAUUAUUAGUCUUUUAAUUGAAGGCUUGAAUGAAAGAUUGGAUGAAAAAUAAACUUUAUUAAUAAAGAUGAUUUAAAUUAUUUUUUAAGUAAAAAUUCUUAAAUAUAUAAGUGGGACGAGAAGACCCUAUAGAGUUUUAUAUUUAUUUUUUAUUAUGAAGUUUAAGAACUAAUAUUUUUAUAAUAUAAAUAAAUCUUUUAUUGGGGUGAUAUUAAAAAUUACCAAACUUUUAAUUAACAUUUCAUUAAUAUAUGAAUUUUUGAUCCAAAAUGAUUUUUGAUUAUAAGAUUAAAUUACCUUAGGGAUAACAGCGUUAUUAAUUUGAAGAGUUCAAAUCGAUAAAUUAGUUUGCGACCUCGAUGUUGGAUUAAGAAUAAAUUUUGAAGAAGUAUUUAAAAUUAUAGGUCUGUUCGACCUUUAAAUUCUUACGUGAUCUGAG